UGGGGAAUAUUGCACAAUGGGCGCAAGCCUGAUGCAGCCAUGCCGCGUGUAUGAAGAAGGCCUUCGGGUUGUAAAGUACUUUCAGCGGGGAGGAAGGGAGUAAAGUUAAUACCUUUGCUCAUUGACGUUACCCGCAGAAGAAGCACCGGCUAACUCCGUGCCAGCAGCCGCGGUAAUACGGAGGGUGCAAGCGUUAAUCGGAAUUACUGGGCGUAAAGCGCACGCAGGCGGUUUGUUAAGUCAGAUGUGAAAUCCCCGGGCUCAACCUGGGAACUGCAUCUGAUACUGGCAAGCUUGAGUCUCGUAGAGGGGGGUAGAAUUCCAGGUGUAGCGGUGAGAUGCGUAGAGAUCUGGAGGAAUACCGGUGGCGAAGGCGGCCCCCUGGACGAAGACUGACGCUCAGGUGCGAAAGCGUGGGGAGCAAACAGG
RNAcentral lists this ribosomal RNA (429 nucleotides) under Chloroflexota bacterium. RNAcentral describes it as "Chloroflexi bacterium partial 16S ribosomal RNA". It matches the Rfam family "Bacterial small subunit ribosomal RNA", at positions 355 to 776 of the family's 1533-position model. Lineage: Bacteria; Bacillati; Chloroflexota. The record is from RNAcentral.